GUAGGGAAUAUUGGGCAAUGGAUGAAAGUCUGACCCAGCCAUGCCGCGUGCCGGAUGAAGGCGCUCAGCGUUGUAAACGGCUUUUAUUCGGAAGAAGAGCAGGGAUGCGUCCCUGUGUGACGGUACCGAAUGAAUAAGCACCGGCUAACUCCGUGCCAGCAGCCGCGGUAAUACGGAGGGUGCGAGCGUUGUCCGGAUUUAUUGGGUUUAAAGGGUGCGUAGGUGGCCAAAUAAGUCAGUGGUGAAAUACGGUUGCUCAACAAUCGAGGUGCCAUUGAUACUGCUUGGCUUGAAAUAAUUGGAGGCUGCCGGAAUGGAUGGUGUAGCGAUGAAAUGCAUAGAUAUCAUCCAGAACACCGAUUGCGAAGGCAGGUGGCUACGAUUUAUUUGACACUGAGGCACGAAAGCAUGGGGAGCAAACAGGAUUAGAAACCCUAGUAGUCC
Molecule: ribosomal RNA, 444 nt
Filed under: uncultured bacterium
Lineage: Bacteria
Description: partial 16S ribosomal RNA
Rfam family: Bacterial small subunit ribosomal RNA
Source: RNAcentral